UCGAGAAUUUUUCACAAUGGGCGCAAGCCUGAUGGAGCGACGCCGCGUGGGGGAUGAAUGGCUUCGGCCCGUAAACCCCUGUCAUUUGCGAACAAUUCGGUUCAACUAAUACCUGAACCGUUGAUAGUAGCGAAAGAGGAAGGGACGGCUAACUCUGUGCCAGCAGCCGCGGUAAUACAGAGGUCCCAAGCGUUGUUCGGAUUCACUGGGCGUAAAGGGUGCGUAGGUGGUGAGGUAAGUCGGAUGUGAAAUCUCCGAGCUCAACUCGGAAAUGGCAUUGGAAACUACCUUGCUAGAGGAUCGGAGGGGGGACUGGAAUACUUGGUGUAGCAGUGAAAUGCGUAGAUAUCAAGUGGAACACCAGUGGCGAAGGCGAGUCCCUGGACGAUACCUGACACUGAGGCACGAAAGCUAGGGGAGCAAACAGGAUUAGAUACCCCCGUAGUCC
Molecule: ribosomal RNA, 448 nt
Filed under: uncultured bacterium
Lineage: Bacteria
Description: bacterial SSU rRNA
Rfam family: Bacterial small subunit ribosomal RNA
Source: RNAcentral